CAGCAGCCGCGGUAAUACGGAGGGUGCAAGCGUUAAUCGGAAUUACUGGGCGUAAAGCGCACGCAGGCGGUUUGUUAAGUCAGAUGUGAAAUCCCCGAGCUUAACUUGGGAACUGCAUUUGAAACUGGCAAGCUAGAGUCUUGUAGAGGGGGGUAGAAUUCCAGGUGUAGCGGUGAAAUGCGUAGAGAUCUGGAGGAAUACCGGUGGCGAAGGCGGCCCCCUGGACAAAGACUGACGCUCAGGUGCGAAAGCGUGGGGAGCAAGCAGGAUUAGAUACCCGGGUAGUCCCUGUCUCUUAUAC
RNAcentral lists this ribosomal RNA (301 nucleotides) under uncultured bacterium. Its description in RNAcentral is "partial 16S ribosomal RNA". It matches the Rfam family "Bacterial small subunit ribosomal RNA", at positions 509 to 807 of the family's 1533-position model. The record is from RNAcentral.